Molecule: ribosomal RNA, 301 nt
Filed under: uncultured bacterium
Lineage: Bacteria
Description: partial 16S ribosomal RNA
Rfam family: Bacterial small subunit ribosomal RNA
Source: RNAcentral
CAGUAGCCGCGGUAAUACGUAGGUGGCAAGCGUUGUCCGGAAUUAUUGGGCGUAAAGGGCUCGCAGGCGGUUUCUUAAGUCUGAUGUGAAAGCCCCCGGCUCAACCGGGGAGGGUCAUUGGAAACUGGGAAACUUGAGUGCAGAAGAGGAGAGUGGAAUUCCACGUGUAGCGGUGAAAUGCGUAGAGAUGUGGAGGAACACCAGUGGCGAAGGCGACUCUCUGGUCUGUAACUGACGCCGAGGAGCGAAAGCGUGGGGAGCGAACAGGAUUAGAUACCCCCGUAGUCCCUGUCUCUUAUAC